GACGUAGGGCGCAAGCGUUGUCCGGAUUUAUUGGGCGUAAAGAGCUCGUAGGCGGCCUGUCGCGUCGACUGUGAAAACUCACGGCUCAACCGUGGGACUGCAGUCGAUACGGGCAGGCUAGAGUUCGGUAGGGGAGACUGGAAUUCCUGGCGUAGCGGUGAAAUGCGCAGAUAUCAGGAGGAACACCGGUGGCGAAGGCGGGUCUCUGGGCCGAUACUGACGCUGAGGAGCGAAAGCGUGGGGAGCGAACAGG
RNAcentral lists this ribosomal RNA (253 nucleotides) under uncultured bacterium. RNAcentral describes it as "partial 16S ribosomal RNA". It matches the Rfam family "Bacterial small subunit ribosomal RNA", at positions 524 to 776 of the family's 1533-position model. The record is from RNAcentral.